This is a non-coding RNA of Cicer arietinum (chickpea), 158 nucleotides long. Lineage: Eukaryota; Viridiplantae; Streptophyta; Magnoliopsida; Fabales; Fabaceae. The record is from Rfam.
AAGCCUAAUUAGAACCAUUUCUUGUUUCUGAUAAACAUGUUUGUUCGGAAUUAUGGUGAAUGUGUUUUAAUUGGGAAGCGGCCAGACAACCGUAGUGAUGGUAUCCACAGAUGCUGGGUUUUCUUCUCCCAUUUGUCUACUGAUUCCAUCACACAUUU